This 1127-nucleotide ribosomal RNA is filed under the name uncultured organism. Its description in RNAcentral is "bacterial SSU rRNA". It matches the Rfam family "Bacterial small subunit ribosomal RNA", at positions 124 to 1287 of the family's 1533-position model. The record is from RNAcentral.
ACUUGCCCCGAAGAUGGGGAUAACCUCUGGAAACGGGGGCUAAUACCCAAUGUGCUCGGUGAUUCGGUUGAUCGAGUAAAGCUCCGGCGCUUCGGGAGAGGCCUGCGGCCCAUCAGCUAGUUGGUAGGGUAACGGCCUACCAAGGCAGAGACGGGUAGGGGGCGUGAGAGCGCGGACCCCCACACUGGCACUGCGACACGGGCCAGACUCCUACGGGAGGCAGCAGUAAGGAAUAUUGCGCAAUGGACGAAAGUCAGACGCAGCGACGCCGCGUGGGCGAUGAAGGCCUUCGGGUUGUAAAGCCCUUUUAUGGGGGAAGAGAAAAAGGACGGUACCCCAUGAAUAAGUCCCGGCUAACUACGUGCCAGCAGCCGCGGUAAAACGUAGGGGACAAGCGUUAUCCGGAUUCACUGGGCGUAAAGAGCGUUGAGGCGGUUCCGUAAGUUGGGCGUGAAAGCUCCGGGCUUAACCCGGAGAUGUCGUUCAAUACUGCGGGGCUUGAGGACAGCAGAGGAAGGUGGAAUUCCCGGUGUAGUGGUGAAAUGCGUAGAUAUCGGGAGGAACACCCGUGGCGAAGGCGGCCUUCUGGGCUGUUCCUGACGCUGAAGGCGAAAGCUAGGGGAGCGAACGGGAUUAGAUACCCCGGUAGUCCUAGCUGUAAACGAUGGAUGCUGGGUGUGGGGGGUGUAAAUUCCCUCUGUGCCGAAGCAAACGCGUUAAGCAUCCCGCCUGGGGACUACGGCCGCAAGGCUAAAACUCAAACGAAUUGACGGGGGCCCGCACAAGCAGCGGAGCGUGUGGUUUAAUUCGAUGCUACACGAAGAACCUUACCUGGGUUUGACAUGCACGUGGUAGGGAACCGAAAGGGGACCGACCUUCGGGAGCGUGCACAGGUGCUGCAUGGCUGUCGUCAGCUCGUGCCGUGAGGUGUCGGGUUAAGUCCCGUAACGAGCGCAACCCUUGCCCUUAGUUACAAGUGUCUAAGGGGACUGCCCGGGACAACUGGGAGGAAGGUGGGGAUGACGUCAAGUCAGCAUGGCCUUUAUAUCCAGGGCUACACACACGCUACAAUGGCCAGUACAAUAGGUAGCCAAGUCGUGAGACGGAGCCAAUCCUUAAAGCUGGUC